UCAAUCGUUGGAAAGAAACAGUGCAUGUACACCAUCAGAAACGUCAAAAGAAGUCUGAUGGCAUACGACGACAAGAGAUACCUCAGCAAUGACAUCGAAUCCUACCCUUACGGAAGCUGUGAAUAUGGAGAUGUGCAGGAAGAGAACUGAUACUUCCGUGACAUGCUGUUCUCGCGUGCGGUCUGGGACUGAGCCGUGGAUGGAGAAGGACGAACGCUUGGGUGAUCCACACGGUACUUAUGUGAAAAAUGCCAUGGAUGCGGGGUGGAAAUGUCCAGUGUGCUGGAAGUGCCCCAGAGAGAACUACAAUCUCUCUGAGAAUGCCAUGAUGUGUCUAAUAAAUGUUGAAAACUA
Molecule: long non-coding RNA, 354 nt
Organism: Ornithodoros turicata
Lineage: Eukaryota; Metazoa; Arthropoda; Arachnida; Ixodida; Argasidae
Exons: 2
Source: RefSeq, a predicted model, not a curated record